Synchiropus splendidus (mandarinfish) is the source of this 1372-nucleotide long non-coding RNA. RefSeq lists it as uncharacterized. The record is from RefSeq and is a predicted model, not a curated record. The transcript is spliced from 3 exons. NCBI's taxonomy places the organism in Eukaryota, Metazoa, Chordata, Actinopteri, Syngnathiformes, Callionymidae.
UUGUCUGGCGGCAUCUGCUGGCUACGACUGAGCAGUACGCUUUUAAACUCAAGAUACGUGAUGACGAAUGGUUGUUAAAGAGAAAUAAUGUUUAGUUAAACUGUUUUCUGGGCUUCCUGGUGACAUAAUUCAGUCUAGGACAUGUAUAUAAAAGUAUAAAUCAAGGAAGAGAGAGGACCGUAGCAUCCUGCACGGCUAAUGCUAAUAUGCUAAGUGCGUCUCCCGACUCUCCCACUGCGCCUCGUCUUGACCAUCCAUUUCCAGUAAAUGAACCUGGAGGAUACUGAAAGCGGACACACUGUGACUGUAAAAUAGCCUCAAAUCCGGCUCCAGAAAGAUGUUUUUGUACCUAAAACGAGAUUGAAGGAGAGUUCAUUGCAGUAUUUUCCACUUUUUUUUAUGUUUGUAGGAUUCAAUUUCAGGUCACCCUGAUAAUGCAGCGUGCACUCUGAAUCUCAUUCAAAAGCCCCUCGGGUUUAGAGUCAUAGCAGCAUCUAUUUAAAGUAGAUUUCCUGCGAGAGGGUAAAGGUUUGCUUAUCGAGAAAAGGGGGAAAAAAAUCACUCACCCUCUCUGUUCGGUGAGAUGUAGUAUUCGAUGGCUCACAACUCUCCUUCUCUCCUCCGUAAUUGCUCUUUAAUUACUGCUCACUGGAGGGUGGCUGUGAACCCCGGACGCUUGAAUCAGAGGAACUUUUGAACAUCAGUUGUUUGGCGCAGGAGGUGGGAAGGAUGCAGAAUGACUGUGCGGCAGGAAGUUUACAAGCCCUGGGGGGGAUGUUAUCAUUCCCACCUGGGAUUGCGUCUUGAAAUGAGUGACUCAUUUUGGAACUUGAAGGUGACACUCCCCUCCUAUGAAUUUGUGCACUGUGUCAGCUGGUUCUUGUUCUUUUGCAUCUAACCCAGAGUUCAUGCUCUAAUUCUGGGUGAAGGUAAACAGAAUAUUUGCACCUGAUUUGCACUGUGCAAAAUAAAGGAGUAAAUGCUAUGUGCAAUGUUGCUCUUGGCUUUGACAGCUCAAAGUGCAUGUGGUAAAUUAGUUUAUUUACAUUUUCUCCUCCCAGAAUGCCCAAAAUUGCAUAUUCACUUAAUAAAAGGAGACGCUGAAAAUUGCUUGAUACAUCACUUUAUUUAGCACAAGCAAACAGACCUGUGUUUUUGUACGUGCAAAUCAUUUGUGUAAAUCUACCAGUACAAGACUAAUAAAUCAUCUAAUAAUAGAAAAUGAAGCGUGUCUUGAGAAAUAUAUUUUUGAGUAUAAAAAGGCGAUAUAUGUGUUAUUGUUCAUUCAUUUAUUAAAAUGUUAGAAUAAUUAUAUGUUUUCCUCUGUCUUGUAUGUUGUUUGUUUUCAUUUUGUUGGCAAAAAUAUUGUCAA